AAGAAUUUAAGUUAUAAAAUUAAACUAUUGACCUUCAAAGCCAAAAAAGGAAACUUUUUCAAUUCUUA
Molecule: transfer RNA, 68 nt
Filed under: Scolytinae sp. BMNH 1040174
Lineage: Eukaryota; Metazoa; Arthropoda; Insecta; Coleoptera; Curculionidae
Description: tRNA-Trp
Source: RNAcentral